This 1004-nucleotide long non-coding RNA is filed under the name Homo sapiens (human). RNAcentral's name for it is "HSALNT0232369". Lineage: Eukaryota; Metazoa; Chordata; Mammalia; Primates; Hominidae. The record is from RNAcentral.
AGUUCAUGCAGAAGUUGUUUCUGAGCCAUGCAGAGCAUCAUCUCUCUGUUCUUAUUCUCUACAAAUAAUUGCUCUACACUCACCCUGCACAUGGCUCUGCAACGGGGAGUUGAGAGAGGACUCGAAAGCCAAGCUUGCUUGCCCACGGGUAUACGUGAUCCAGAGCUGAAUCCACCACUCAGAGAAUAAUGUCUUCUGACUCCUGCAGAGCAGCUUUCCUUCCACAGCAGGACCAUUGAGGCAUCAUCCUGAAAAACAUGAAGGAUGUGAAGCAGUCAUUGCUGAAGGACAUGCCAAGAAGUAAAGAGAGAUGCAGCCUGGCAGUCAUCCCACUUCAUGUAUCCAACUCCCUCCAUAGCAAGGUCAGACCAAGAACUAAGAUACGUGGGCUGGAAAGGAGGGUGUCAGCUCUGGAGCCCCUGUAAUGAUGAUGGUAAUGGGGCUGAUUGCAUUUCCGACUCCCAUUUCCCCUUCUAUGUCUCCUAAGCCCUUCAUUUUAACUCAUGUCCGUGUUCUCCAGGAGGCCCAAAGGGAUGAUCCAUAGUGAUCCAAGUCACUAUGCAGGCUCCACCCCCUUGCUGAAGGUUGGAGCCAGCAUGGACAUGGGUCUCAGUUCUGAUCAAUGACACAGGAGCACCCGUCUUCUGGUAGAGCGUCCUCACUGUCAAAAAUAUACCUAUGUAGGGUUGCCAGAUUUAGAACAUAAAAAUGCAGGAUACUAGGUUACAUUGUAAUUUCAGAUAAAUGAAAAAUAAUUUUUUAGUAUAAGUAUAUUCCAUGCAAUAUUUGGAUGCCCCAUGCCACCUUGAGGAGAUAUCUUCCUCCCAUGUUAGCCACACUCUCCAGGUGUUUGUCUAUGAAAUGCUCGGUCCAGGAGCAGAGUCACACACAGCAUUAAAACUUCUCACGUUAAAAGGCUCAGACACUUUGAAUAAUGACAGAUUCAUAUUCACGAAAUAUAUCUACUUGAGUUUCCCUUUUGUUUUGAAGAACUGCUUGGUCCU